Molecule: long non-coding RNA, 538 nt
Organism: Ipomoea nil (Japanese morning glory)
Lineage: Eukaryota; Viridiplantae; Streptophyta; Magnoliopsida; Solanales; Convolvulaceae
Exons: 2
Source: RefSeq, a predicted model, not a curated record
AAUCAUCUCAGUAGUCUCGGACCGCCCACUGCUGCGGUGCUAUUUUCCUCCGCCCACUGUCGUCAGCUCUGCCUCCACCGCCCACCGUCGUUUCCUCUGACGCAUCUCUCUGCCGUUGGAGGAACUUGGUGACAUGGCAAAGUAAAAAGCAAGAGGUGGUAGAUUGCAGCAGUGCAGCUCAACUACAGGCUCAAAUGCAGGCUCAACUACAAACUGAAAUAACUCAAAUGCAUGCUCAAAUGCAAGCUCAGAUUACAAGUGUGAUGGAUGAGUUGUGUUGAAACGGUAUGCUAUCAACUUCUAUGCCACGACGUCCAACUACUCAAGCUGAACAUUAUGCUAAUUCAAAUGCUAAAAAUAUAGGAGACGAUUAGAUUAUAUUUAUUAAUAUUUUUUGGUACUAUUUCUAACAAUGUAAUAUUGCACAGUGCUACACUUUUGUUAUUGAUAUUGAGUUUGAAUGUUUUAAUAUAAUAUAUUUUAUAAUUAUAUUAUUGAAGUACUAUAUUAUAGGUUUAAUGUAGGUAUGUGAUAUUAA